UCUCUGUGAGUGCUAAUGCCAUAACGAAUAGGAAAAAGCAAUAAAAAUAAAUGAAUGCAGUCUUUUUUUUGCUGAAAAUGUCACAAAUAUAAGGAGUCUGACAGCAUAUCUGGUCUUCCAGUAACACCUUUGAAGGCAUGUGAGGACAAAGAUCAUCCUUCCCUUAGGACCACCUGAAUUAGGUGAUGUAUGGGAAAUCAGAUGCUGAAUGGGAUGCUACCUUGGAGUUUGCAUGUAUCUGCAAGAAACUGAAACAUGAGCACUGUCAUGGGAAGAACUGCAUUUCUGAAAGCUGCUCAAGCACUAACAGUAUCCCCUGAACCCACUCAAUUUUGGUCCAACCUUGGCUGGAAUACUUUCUCAACUCGUCCUGUGUGGGUAUCUCUAUGCUGCUCAUGUGUGAAAGAAUGAAUCUCACACAAGAAAUACCUGCUGUGAUUUUGUCACUAUUUUGUGAUUCAGUGAUGAUAUUUGUUUGCUCAGAUGGCGAGUGUGUCCACAGCUUUUCUCACCUACUUCUUUCACUCCAGAGCUCUUACCUCCAGAGAGUUUUUAACUAAAGCUCUGCUUGAGCCUGCCAUUCCUUUAGAGCACCUGUCUUUGAUCCUCUCCACUGACCUGGGCACAUGAUGAGUUGACCAUCUGGAUGCUACUUACUGACGUGUGUCUAACAGGACAGACUGAAUAAGUUGAAGAAGAGUGAGAAGCCUACUUCUAAACCAUUAAUUCCGAGGCCUUGUUGAUCCCCCGUGUCAGGUCAGCCUGUCCUCACAGAUCUGCCAAUCCUGCUCAUAACUCAACUGGAUUCUGGA
Long non-coding RNA from Tyto alba (common barn owl), 812 nucleotides. RefSeq lists it as uncharacterized. The transcript has 3 exons. The record is from RefSeq and is a predicted model, not a curated record. Lineage: Eukaryota; Metazoa; Chordata; Aves; Strigiformes; Tytonidae.